GCGACCCCAGGAUGGGCGAGGCCACCCGCUGAAUUUAAGCAUAUCAA
This 47-nucleotide ribosomal RNA is filed under the name Catasetum bertioguense. RNAcentral's name for it is "partial 26S ribosomal RNA". The record is from RNAcentral. Lineage: Eukaryota; Viridiplantae; Streptophyta; Magnoliopsida; Asparagales; Orchidaceae.